RNAcentral lists this ribosomal RNA (466 nucleotides) under uncultured bacterium. RNAcentral describes it as "partial 16S ribosomal RNA". It matches the Rfam family "Bacterial small subunit ribosomal RNA", at positions 28 to 507 of the family's 1533-position model. The record is from RNAcentral.
GACGAACGCUGGCGGCGUGCUUAACACAUGCAGGUCGAACGGAAAGGCCUCUUUCGGGGGGUACUCGCGUGGCGAACGCGUGAGUAACACGUGAGUAUCCUGCCCUUGUCUUUGGGAUAUCUUCAGGAAACUGGGGCUAUUACCGGGUAGGAGCUCCUGCUCUAUGGUGGGGGUUGGAGAGUUUCGGCGGGUGGGGAUGGACUCGCGGCUUAUCAGCUUGUGGGUGGGGUAUUGGCUUACCACGGCUUUGUCGGGUAGCCGGCCGGAGAGGGUGACCGGCCAGAUGGGGAUGGAGAUACGGCCCAGACUCCUAGGGGAGGCAGCAGUGGGGAAUAUUGAAAAAGGGGCGGAAGCCUGAUGCAGCACCGCGGGGGGCGGGAUGACGGCCUUCGGGUUGUAAACCGCUUUCGCCUGUGACGAAGCGUGAGUGACGGUAAUGGGUAAAGAAGCACCGGCUAACUACGUG